AGCACCCUCAUCAGAUAAUAAAGCAACUGCUGUAACUCAAGGUCAAAUGAUCCUUAAUCUAAAACAAUCUCUAAAUGACAUAAGAAGGGCUUUAACUUUAGCAUCCACUGCAUUUGAAGCUGUGUUUCAUCUCUCUACAGAGUAAAGUCAAUAAUAUGAGAAUCAUAAACCAAGCAGGACUGCAAAUCCUCUUAGGCUGCCUGCUGGAAAGCAAGUUUGUGCUGACUGUGGAUUCACCACUGACUCACUCAAGGUUUAUGUGCCUCCUCUUCUUACUGCGGCCAGACAACAAGUACACCACCCCAAGACUACUGGGAAAACAUAAAUAUAACCAAUCACAACCCUCAGGUUCCAGCAGGUUCAGAAGUAAUCGGGUUCAGAAGUAACAGACCGAAAACAGUGUUUUAAAUUGGGAAUCCACUCAAAGUAAUGUCUUCUCUUUGUGGAGCUCAGAAAUUAGCGUGUGUACUUAAAAUGCUGACUCAGACGUUGGACAGGCCAUUUACUUUCUUGAGUUCAAACUACGUUAAAGCUUUUAAUAAAACUCUGAGGGAAAUUCCACUGCCAUACAA
This is a long non-coding RNA of Mastomys coucha (southern multimammate mouse), 572 nucleotides long. RefSeq lists it as uncharacterized. The record is from RefSeq and is a predicted model, not a curated record. The transcript has 2 exons. Lineage: Eukaryota; Metazoa; Chordata; Mammalia; Rodentia; Muridae.